GUGGGGAAUUUUGGACAAUGGGCGCAAGCCUGAUCCAGCAAUGCCGCGUGCAGGAAGAAGGCCUUCGGGUUGUAAACUGCUUUUGUACGGAACGAAAAGGUCUGGGUUAAUACCCUGGGCUCAUGACGGUACCGUAAGAAUAAGCACCGGCUAACUACGUGCCAGCAGCCGCGGUAAUACGUAGGGUGCGAGCGUUAAUCGGAAUUACUGGGCGUAAAGCGUGCGCAGGCGGUUUUGUAAGACAGGCGUGAAAUCCCCGGGCUCAACCUGGGAAUGGCGCUUGUGACUGCAAAGCUGGAGUGCGGCAGAGGGGGAUGGAAUUCCGCGUGUAGCAGUGAAAUGCGUAGAUAUGCGGAGGAACACCGAUGGCGAAGGCAAUCCCCUGGGCCUGCACUGACGCUCAUGCACGAAAGCGUGGGGAGCAAACAGGAUUAGAAACCCGUGUAGUCC
RNAcentral lists this ribosomal RNA (450 nucleotides) under uncultured bacterium. RNAcentral's name for it is "partial 16S ribosomal RNA". It matches the Rfam family "Bacterial small subunit ribosomal RNA", at positions 354 to 796 of the family's 1533-position model. The record is from RNAcentral.